RNAcentral lists this ribosomal RNA (253 nucleotides) under uncultured bacterium. Its description in RNAcentral is "partial 16S ribosomal RNA". It matches the Rfam family "Bacterial small subunit ribosomal RNA", at positions 524 to 776 of the family's 1533-position model. The record is from RNAcentral.
UACGAAGGGGGCUAGCGUUGCUCGGAAUCACUGGGCGUAAAGCGCACGUAGGCGGCUUUCUAAGUCAGGGGUGAAAUCCUGGAGCUCAACUCCAGAACUGCCUUUGAUACUGGAGAGCUUGAGUCCGGGAGAGGUGAGUGGAACUCCGAGUGUAGAGGUGAAAUUCGUAGAUAUCGAGAGGAACACCGGUGGCGAAGGCGGCCUUCUGGACAGUGACUGACGCUGAGACGCGAAAGCGUGGGGAGCAAACAGG